GACGAACGCUGGCGGCGUGCUUAACACAUGCAAGUCGAACGGAAAGGCCUUUUCGGAGGUACUCGAGUGGCGAACGGGUGAGUAACACGUGGGUGAUCUGCCCUGCACUCUGGGAUAAGCCUGGGAAACUGGGUCUAAUACCGGAUAGGACCGCACUUUAGUGUGUGUGGUGGAAAGUUUUUUCGGUGUAGGAUGAGACCGCGGCCUAUCAGCUUGUUGGUGGGGUAAUGGCCUACCAAGGCGGCGACGGGUAGCCGGACUGAGAGGUUGGGCGGCCACAUUGGGACUGGGAGACGGCCCAGACGCCUACGGGAGGCAGCAGUGGGGAAUAUUGCUCAAUGGGCGCGAGCCUGAUGCAGCGACGCCGCGUGGGGGAUGACGGCCUUCGGGUUGUAAACGCCUUUCGCCAGGGACGAAGCGUUUUGUGACGGUACCUGGAGAAGAAGCACCGGCUAACUACGUG
This 463-nucleotide ribosomal RNA is filed under the name uncultured bacterium. RNAcentral's name for it is "partial 16S ribosomal RNA". It matches the Rfam family "Bacterial small subunit ribosomal RNA", at positions 28 to 507 of the family's 1533-position model. The record is from RNAcentral.